Molecule: unclassified non-coding RNA, 291 nt
Filed under: Hevea brasiliensis (rubber tree)
Lineage: Eukaryota; Viridiplantae; Streptophyta; Magnoliopsida; Malpighiales; Euphorbiaceae
Source: RNAcentral
CAUCCAAAUUUGUUGAAACCCCUACUAUCUAAAUCUGUCCCAAACCUAACUAGAAAUCACCCUUUGAGAUCCAUACCCACUACAAAUCUGAUUAACACUACCCACAUACUACUCAAACCCUCUUAUUUUCUUAUCUUUUGCUUUUUCUUUUUCCUUUUUUUUUUUUUCCAAUAAAUUUAUUUAAGGUCAACACAAAUGGGUUGGAUACCUGAACCCAUAAUAGGACAAAAAAUAUUCAUAUAAAAGGUCAAAAGACAUAAAGACCAUAAAAUCAAAUAAUCAUUCAUUUUU